CUUUAUUAUGUACUUAUUAUACCAUAUUGUAAUUGUCUAUUUAUAUGAGUUAAACAAAAAAUUUUGAGGACUGUUUAAUCUGCUGUGAGUAACAAAUAUUGUUCUAAGUGCUUGAGGUCAACCAGAAAGCCAAGAUGUCCCUGUGCAGCUUAUAAUCAUAUUAGUUCAGAAAUGCAAUUGUUUUCCGGUAGUAAUUAGUACUGUGAUAGGAUUUGAGGGGGUUGUGGUUGCUCUAGAAAGAAUAACUAGCAAAAAAUUAGAAGAAGCUAAUCAUGCAGUGGCAUGGCAAAUAGGGAGUACAGAGGUAUUGAGACUGAGAACAAGAGUAGCUUGCCCCAGGGGCAGAAAGAGGCUCAUUAUGUACCUGAAGCACAAUGAAAAAGGGAUAGAAAAUUGAAGAGGAGACCAGACCACACAAAGUCUUGUUGCCAUGAUUUGGGGCUUUAAUCUAAGGUGGAUGAGAAGAAAACCUUUGAAAUGUUUUAAGCAGAGAAGUAGCCUGAUCUGAUUUGUAUUUAAAAAGAUUAUUCUGACUGGAGUAUGGAAGACGGAUUAGAGAGGGCUUGCAAAGUAAAUCAACUAUUGGUGUCCAGGAGCAAGGCUGAUGGUCACCUGGCAAGUAUUAAGCUGUUGUCUGGGUUCUUAUAACCAGUAUCUGUUGACUGGAUGCAGUUCUAAUUGGUUGGUACCAUUAUCCGUGAUUAAAGAUUUUGCUUAUUUCCCAGUAAUCCUUAGAAGUUCAAGGUGGCUCAAAUUCAGGUGAGAAUGUGAACAUAUAGGCUAAGUAGAUCUGGAAAGACUCACUGAUGUAAGAUAGGGGACUGGAGGGAAAAGAAGCAGUAAGACUGACUAUAUGUUGCUUGUCUAUGGAAUUCAUGCUUCUUGAAGGCAGAGGUGAUCUGUGGUGCGCUGUUCGAUCCUUAGUAUCUAUUACAAUACUAAGGAUCACACAUCCUGCUGAAUGGAAUUGAAUUGUGUUGUUAGGGUUUGGAUCUGGAAUGUCCUCCAAAGACCCAUGUGUUAAAGGCUUGGUCUCCAACUCGGCAUUAUUGGGAGGUGGUAGAAACUUUAGAAGGCAGGGCCUAUUGGAAGGUCUUUUUGUCAUUGGGAGUGUGUCCUUGAGAGGAUAGUGGGCCCCAGCCCCUUCCUCUUUCUCUUUUACUUCCCACACGAGGAGAACCAUCAGCAUCAUCACAUGUUUCCCACCAUGAUGUGCUGCCUCAUCACAAGCCCAG
This 1235-nucleotide long non-coding RNA is filed under the name Marmota monax (woodchuck). The record is from RNAcentral. Lineage: Eukaryota; Metazoa; Chordata; Mammalia; Rodentia; Sciuridae.